UGUUGUCGGGUGGAUCACGAUGCAAUUUUGAUUAGUAUUAUAGGAGAAAAAUUGCACGGUAUCCAUCUGUAAACC
Molecule: microRNA precursor, 75 nt
Filed under: Mandrillus leucophaeus (drill)
Lineage: Eukaryota; Metazoa; Chordata; Mammalia; Primates; Cercopithecidae
Description: microRNA 363 (ENSMLEG00000012447.1)
Rfam family: mir-363 microRNA precursor family
Source: RNAcentral